This 490-nucleotide long non-coding RNA is filed under the name Homo sapiens (human). RNAcentral's name for it is "non-protein coding lnc-ZSCAN10-3:10". Lineage: Eukaryota; Metazoa; Chordata; Mammalia; Primates; Hominidae. The record is from RNAcentral.
AGCCCAGGGACCAGGAAACCUCUUGCUUGAGUGCUGGAACUCAGGCCAGAAGGCAGGAAGCCCGCCUGACCCCAUGUCUCAGGCUGCCAGAGGAGCGUGCGAUGAGGAAGGCUGGACUGUCUUCACAGGACACCAGGGAGAAGCCUCAAGCCACUGCCCCCUGACAAGUCGCAGCUCUCCAGCCUGUCUCCUCACUCCCCUCCCCUCCACAUGGGGGGGUUGGGGUGGGGGCGGGGAAGGUUCGGGGCAGGGGUCAUUUCAGCUACUGGGCACCAGUCUCCUCCUCAUGUUUAUCCUGUUCCCUUUGCUUGAAAGGUUCGUACUCCAGAUCCUUGUAAAACCGCUUCUCACCCUUUGAGUCUCAGCUUAAAUGUCCCCUCCUUGGAGGGGUCUUCCCUGACAAUGAAGCUCCGACCGUCCUCUCCUGUUUUACCCAGUUCAUUUCUUUCUGGCAUUUGUAACUACUUGAAGUUAAAGUGUGUGCCAUGUA